This 497-nucleotide ribosomal RNA is filed under the name uncultured bacterium. RNAcentral's name for it is "partial 16S ribosomal RNA". It matches the Rfam family "Bacterial small subunit ribosomal RNA", at positions 28 to 507 of the family's 1533-position model. The record is from RNAcentral.
GAUGAACGCUGGCGGCGUGCCUAAUACAUGCAAGUCGAGCGAACAGACGAGGAGCUUGCUCCUCUGACGUUAGCGGCGGACGGGUGAGUAACACGUGGAUAACCUACCUAUAAGACUGGGAUAACUUCGGGAAACCGGAGCUAAUACCGGAUAAUAUAUUGAACCGCAUGGUUCAAUAGUGAAAGACGGUUUUGCUGUUACUUAUAGAUGGUUCCGCGCCGCAUUAGCUAGUUGGUAAGGUAACGGCUUACCAAGGCAACGAUGCGUAGCCGACCUGAGAGGGUGAUCGGCCACACUGGAACUGAGACACGGUCCAGACUCCUACGGGAGGCAGCAGUAGGGAAUCUUCCGCAAUGGGCGAAAGCUUGACGGAGCAACGCCGCGUGAGUGAUGAAGGUCUUCGGAUCGUAAAACUCUGUUAUUAGGGAAGAACAAAUGUGUAAGUAACUAUGCACGUCUUGACGGUACCUAAUCAGAAAGCCACGGCUAACUACGUG